RNAcentral lists this long non-coding RNA (212 nucleotides) under Panax ginseng (ginseng). RNAcentral's name for it is "long non-coding RNA (PGIN_LNC015953)". Lineage: Eukaryota; Viridiplantae; Streptophyta; Magnoliopsida; Apiales; Araliaceae. The record is from RNAcentral.
ACAAAUUGACUUUGGAGCAAUUUUGUUUGAUCAUAUCUCUAAGUGGGUAGAGAAGGCUGAGAAGAAACCACUGACCAAAGUGUUUCAUAGAAGGCUGCUGAGUAUCAUACUGAAGAAAAAGCUAGGUGGAAAGAUCAAGGAUGAUGAGGGAGAAGCCCUGAAUGUGCACAAAGUAAUGUAUCCAUAGUUAUUUAAAAACUAGAAGAAGAACC